GAUAAACAAAGGUGAAAUGAUUAUAAUCAUUAUCUAUACCUGCAGUUCCAGCAUGUGGAGAAUGAACUGGAUUUUCUGGAUUCGAGCAAAUUCCAGAGUCCACAGAGCUACACUCGAGCUGUCCGGCAGGUUCAACACAUGAAGGACCUUCUGGAGAAUGCUAUCCUCUGCUCCAAUUCAGUUUCAGAAAGACAAUCCUAUGAAGUUUGCUGAUUGCAUUCCCAAAUUGCACGUCCUCGUUAAGUGAAAUGGUUUAACCUGAGGUUCACUACACCUCAGGCGAGGGCAGACGUGGAGAAGGAGAGUCCUUCAUGGUGAUUGGACGCAUGCUGUUGGUGUCAUUCAGCAUUACAAACCAACUGUCCAGCCACUGAGCUACAAUUCGAUAAGGUACACAAUUUGUUCCUACAUCUAAUUGAAGGGAAAGAUUUCAAAAACAUGAACUGUCAGCAAGCUGACUGCAGUGUUCAAACCCUCCAGCUACCCAGGUCCAAGACUGAACUUGACCGGUGAUCCAGAAUCUGAAACUAAGGUUUUGAAUGCCAGCUUUUAAUCAAAAUAAAUGAGCAAUGUGCUUAGGUCUUUGCGUAAAACAUUUGCCUUUUGUCCCAAGAAUAAAAGUCAAUUACAGCAUUUUGAGGAAAGGGAACAUCAGGGAAGAGGGAUUUACUACAUAAAGAUUUUUUUAAAAUUUCCACAGGUUAAU
Long non-coding RNA from Chiloscyllium plagiosum (whitespotted bambooshark), 706 nucleotides. RefSeq lists it as uncharacterized. The record is from RefSeq and is a predicted model, not a curated record. Lineage: Eukaryota; Metazoa; Chordata; Chondrichthyes; Orectolobiformes; Hemiscylliidae.